GCCAGGAUGGUCUAAUCGGUUUAAGGCGUCGCCCCGGUAGGCGAAGGUUGCGGGUUCAAUCCCCGCUCCUGGCC
This 74-nucleotide transfer RNA is filed under the name Ixodes scapularis (black-legged tick). RNAcentral describes it as "tRNA-Undet for anticodon ???". It matches the Rfam family "tRNA". Rfam says of the family: Transfer RNA (tRNA) molecules are approximately 80 nucleotides in length. Their secondary structure includes four short double-helical elements and three loops (D, anti-codon, and T loops). Further hydrogen bonds mediate the characteristic L-shaped molecular structure. tRNAs have two regions of fundamental functional importance: the anti-codon, which is responsible for specific mRNA codon recognition, and the 3' end, to which the tRNAs corresponding amino acid is attached (by aminoacyl-tRNA synthetases). tRNAs cope with the degeneracy of the genetic code in two manners: having more than one tRNA (with a specific anti-codon) for a particular amino acid; and 'wobble' base-pairing, i.e. permitting non-standard base-pairing at the 3rd anti-codon position. Lineage: Eukaryota; Metazoa; Arthropoda; Arachnida; Ixodida; Ixodidae. The record is from RNAcentral.